UUGACAAUCCUCGUCGUACGGCCCAAUUACAACGUCUGUUUGGAAUCAAAACCAGGCUCAUAAACUCUCCGCAGGCGCACGCCCAGCAGUCUCUCGGUCUCGGAUCUUGAUCUGAAAGCAAAAUGUGGCGAACCAUUUCGACGCCCAUCUCAGAGGACUAGGUCUCUUCACUUCCUCCACGCAAUCUUUCCUUCUCGCUCAAAGCCCUGCCUACAAUCCUCACUGUUUCCCCCGAGUCUCACACUCUAUACGUCCACAAAGCCCUCAUCUUCUGCACAAUCGACGCACCCUCCGUCUCCUCGAUCCCCGGCCUCGGAAUCCGCGGUCUCGGUUCCAAUUUCGGUUUGAUCGUAUGCGGUGCAUUUCCUCGGACUCUCCGGCGCCCACAUUGGAUUGGAACGACCCGGUGUCGUGCUCGGUGGUCGGCAACGGAGACAAUGGCAGCGUGGAGGUGGAUACUUAAGCCCUCUAUUCUUGUCAGAGACUAUUUCUUCUUCUCUACCAGUGUGUGAGAAGGUUAACGGAACACCAAUUUUAUUCUGCCAACAUUGCGAAAGACUGAUUAGUCUGUUCUUAAGUUCGGCAUCGGGGCUUGGCUUUGUGGUAUGAGACUAAUCAACUGGAAGAGCUUGCCAGGACGGCUUGGUAAGCAAGCAAGCAGGCGCCAACUCCCAGUUCCUUCUCUUCUCUAUUUUUUGGGCCCCUGUGAACAUAGGAAUUGGAUGGAUGACUCACUCUCUCUUGGAUCUUUGCGAGACCAUUUCAAGGAGGAGCAAAGAUCAAGAAGCAGGAGUAGCACUGUAACACAGCUUGGAGGCAUCUCAAAUCUGCUGCAUGUCUUGGGCAUCCAACAACAUCAUACUUAUUACGACGACUCCCAGAGAGUCUUGAGUGACGAAUCCACAAGCAUGACACUGAUACUGUCCACCACCAUACAUAGUCUUCUGACAGUGACUCUGGCAUGCCUAAAUGAUCCAUCAUUCAGCCCACUCUGCAACUCCACAACUUCAUUAGUCAAGUGGGUCCUCACCACAGACCUAUAUAUAUAUAUAUAUUAGGAUCGAUAUUAUAUUUGAUUCCACGAACUGUUUUUGAACCAGAUCUUCCUUUAAAUGUGUAUCUAUUCCCUAUUUAUUAACUCAUACAUGGCAAAUCAUGGGUCUCGUUUGUGAGAGCACUUCCUAAAUUUUUAUUGUUAUGUUUACAUUUUUGUAUAUCCCCUCAUAAUAUAUACUUGACCAUUCUUUUUGUUUUUCUUAA
Carya illinoinensis is the source of this 1260-nucleotide long non-coding RNA. RefSeq lists it as uncharacterized. The record is from RefSeq and is a predicted model, not a curated record. The transcript has 3 exons. Lineage: Eukaryota; Viridiplantae; Streptophyta; Magnoliopsida; Fagales; Juglandaceae.